GGGCCAGACUCCUACGGGAGGCAGCAGUGAGGAAUAUUGGUCAAUGGGCUAAGGCCUGAACCAGCCAAGUCGCGUGAGGGAAGACGGUCCUAUGGAUUGUAAACCUCUUUUGUCGGGGAGCAACGAGGCCACGUGUGGCCGAAGUGAGAGUACCCGAAGAAAAAGCAUCGGCUAACUCCGUGCCAGCAGCCGCGGUAAUACGGAGGAUGCGAGCGUUAUCCGGAUUUAUUGGGUUUAAAGGGUGCGUAGGCGGAGUGUUAAGUCGGCGGUAAACGCCGGGGUCUCACCCCCGGCGAGCCGUUGAAACUGGCUGUCUUGAGAUGUCGAGAGGUAUGCGGAAUGCGCAGUGUAGCGGUGAAAUGCUUAGAUAUUGCGCAGAACUCCGAUUGCGAAGGCAGCAUACCGGCGGCGAUCUGACGCUGAGGCGCGAAAGCGUGGGUAUCGAACAGGAUUAGAUACCCUAGUAU
RNAcentral lists this ribosomal RNA (467 nucleotides) under uncultured bacterium. RNAcentral describes it as "bacterial SSU rRNA". It matches the Rfam family "Bacterial small subunit ribosomal RNA", at positions 328 to 793 of the family's 1533-position model. The record is from RNAcentral.